RNAcentral lists this ribosomal RNA (654 nucleotides) under Segatella copri. RNAcentral describes it as "bacterial LSU rRNA". It matches the Rfam family "Bacterial large subunit ribosomal RNA", at positions 1 to 666 of the family's 2925-position model. Lineage: Bacteria; Pseudomonadati; Bacteroidota; Bacteroidia; Bacteroidales; Prevotellaceae. The record is from RNAcentral.
UAAAGAAAGUAAGAAAGGGCGUAUGGCGGAUGCCUAGGCUCACGGAGGCGAUGAAGGACGUGAUAAGCUGCGAUAAGCUUCGGGUAGGUGCAAAUAACCUUUGAUCCGGAGAUUUCCGAAUGGGACAACCUAGCCGUCUGAAGGACGGUUACUCUUCUAAUGUAAGAGAGCUAACGCAGGGAACUGAAACAUCUUAGUACCUGUAGGAAGAGAAAAUAAAUUAAUGAUUCCCCUAGUAGUGGCGAGCGAACGGGGAACAGCCCAAACCAGUGGCGUCGCAAGGCGUGGCUGGGGUUGUAGGACCGCGACAUUGUAUGCAAAUCGUGAACAGAACACUUUGGAAAAUGUGACCAUAGACGGUGAUAGUCCAGUAUGUGAAGCGAAAUGCAGCAUAGCGGUAUCCUGAGUAACGCGGGACACGAGGAAUCCUGCGCGAAUCUGCCGGGACCAUCCGGUAAGGCUAAAUACUCCCGUGAGACCGAUAGCGAACGAGUACUGUGAAGGAAAGGUGAAAAGAACCCCGAGCAGGGGAGUGAAAUAGUUCCUGAAACCAUGCGCCUACAAGCGGUCGGAGCAUCUUACGAUGUGACGGCGUGCCUUUUGCAUAAUGAUCCUACGAGUUACCGUCACUGGCGAGGUUGAGUGUCACGAGAC